Molecule: ribosomal RNA, 513 nt
Filed under: uncultured bacterium
Lineage: Bacteria
Description: partial 16S ribosomal RNA
Rfam family: Bacterial small subunit ribosomal RNA
Source: RNAcentral
GAUGAACGCUGGCGGCGUGCCUAAUACAUGCAAGUCGAGCGAACAGACGAGGAGCUUGCUCCUCUGACGUUAGCGGCGGACGGGUGAGUAACACGUGGAUAACCUACCUAUAAGACUGGGAUAACUUCGGGAAACCGGAGCUAAUACCGGAUAAUAUAUUGAACCGCAUGGUUCAAUAGUGAAAGACGGUUUUGCUGUCACUUAUAGAUGGAUCCGCGCCGCAUUAGCUAGUUGGUAAGGUAACGGCUUACCAAGGCAACGAUGCGUAGCCGACCUGAGAGGGUGAUCGGGCACACUGGAACUGAAACACGGUCCAGACUCUUACGGGAGUCAGCAGUAGGGAAUCUUCCGCAAUGGGCGAAAGCCUGACGGAGCAACGCCGCGUGAGUGAUGAAGGUCUUCGGAUCGUAAAACUCUGUUAUUAGGGAAGAACAAAUUUGUUAGUAACUGAACAAGUCUUGACGGUACCUAACCAGAAAGCCACGGCUAACUACGUGCCAGCCGCCGCCGUAA